AGCGGCGGACGGGUGAGUAACACGUGGGCAACCUGCCUGUAAGACUGGGAUAACUCCGGGAAACCGGAGCUAAUACCGGAUACUAUGUCAAACCGCAUGGUUUGACAUUCAAAGACGGUUUCGGCUGUCACUUACAGAUGGGCCCGCGGCGCAUUAGCUAGUUGGUGAGGUAAUGGCUCACCAAGGCGACGAUGCGUAGCCGACCUGAGAGGGUGAUCGGCCACACUGGGACUGAGACACGGCCCAGACUCCUACGGGAGGCAGCAGUAGGGAAUCUUCCGCAAUGGACGAAAGUCUGACGGAGCAACGCCGCGUGAGUGAUGAAGGUUUUCGGAUCGUAAAACUCUGUUGUCAGGGAAGAACAAGUGCCGGAGUAACUGCCGGCGCCUUGACGGUACCUGACCAGAAAGCCACGGCUAACUACGUGCCAGCAGCCGCGGUAAUACGUAGGUGGCAAGCGUUGUCCGGAAUUAUUGGGCGUAAAGCGCGCGCAGGCGGUUUCUUAAGUCUGAUGUGAAAGCCCCCGGCUCAACCGGGGAGGGUCAUUGGAAACUGGGAAACUUGAGUGCAGAAGAGGAGAGUGGAAUUCCACGUGUAGCGGUGAAAUGCGUAGAGAUGUGGAGGAACACCAGUGGCGAAGGCGACUCUCUGGUCUGUAACUGACGCUGAGGCGCGAAAGCGUGGGGAGCGAACAGGAUUAGAUACCCUGGUAGUCCACGCCGUAAACGAUGAGUGCUAAGUGUUAGAGGGUUUCCGCCCUUUAGUGCUGCAGCUAACGCAUUAAGCACUCCGCCUGGGGAGUACGGUCGCAAGACUGAAACU
This 822-nucleotide ribosomal RNA is filed under the name Metabacillus indicus. Its description in RNAcentral is "bacterial SSU rRNA". It matches the Rfam family "Bacterial small subunit ribosomal RNA", at positions 94 to 901 of the family's 1533-position model. Lineage: Bacteria; Bacillati; Bacillota; Bacilli; Caryophanales; Bacillaceae. The record is from RNAcentral.